UUGACGGAUGUGAAGAAUGUCCUCGGGGUCAAGGACCCCUGAAAAGACUCCACACGCUGUAGCCUCACUCCACCUCAGAAACCGUCCUUAAGGGCUCAGCCCCAGCAAUUCACGAGGCCUCUGUCCUCUCAGUCAGAAUUCGGUAGUUUUGGAUUCCUUGUGAGGUAAUAGCUUCACAGGGCUUUUGGACACAGCUUUGGGAAUGAACAUCCCUGAGGAGAUGCUGGCCCGUUCAUCUAACCCCGUUGGGGAUCUGACGUCUUGUUGGUUUUGGGGAAGAAUCUGUUUCUUCCGGAAAUACUGCGGACUGCCCCGCUGUGGUUAGAUCAAGUCCUAGAGGGUUUGACGCGUGGGCAGUGAACUGAUAGAGGGGUUUUGUGCUCUGCAAAUGUGUUCCUGGUCUGAGAAAUAACUUCUCCCCAAAAC
RNAcentral lists this long non-coding RNA (426 nucleotides) under Bos taurus (domestic cattle). Its description in RNAcentral is "long non-coding RNA NONBTAT015810". Lineage: Eukaryota; Metazoa; Chordata; Mammalia; Artiodactyla; Bovidae. The record is from RNAcentral.